UACAGAGGUUGCGAGCGUUGUUCGGAAUUACUGGGCGUAAAGCGCGCGCAGGCGGCCCUUUAAGUCUACCCGUGAAAUGCCGGAGCUCAACUCCGUGCACGCCGGGGGAUACUGGGGGGCUGGAGACAUGUAGAGGCAAGCGGAAUUCCGGGUGUAGCGGUGGAAUGCGUAGAUAUCCGGAAGAACACCUGAGGCGAAGGCGGCUUGCUGGGCAUGAUCUGACGCUGAGGCGCGAAAGCGUGGGGAGCAAACAGG
This 255-nucleotide ribosomal RNA is filed under the name uncultured bacterium. RNAcentral's name for it is "partial 16S ribosomal RNA". It matches the Rfam family "Bacterial small subunit ribosomal RNA", at positions 524 to 776 of the family's 1533-position model. The record is from RNAcentral.